RNAcentral lists this ribosomal RNA (427 nucleotides) under uncultured bacterium. Its description in RNAcentral is "bacterial SSU rRNA". It matches the Rfam family "Bacterial small subunit ribosomal RNA", at positions 354 to 796 of the family's 1533-position model. The record is from RNAcentral.
GCAAGGAAUUUUCCGCAAUGGGCGCAAGCCUGACGGAGCAACGCCGCGUGCGGGAUGACGCGUUUCGGCGUGUAAACCGCUGUUCGUGGGGACGAAGCACUGACGGUACCCACGGAGGAAGGCCCGGCUAACUACGUGCCAGCAGCCGCGGUAAUACGUAGGGGUCGAGCGUUGUCCGGAGUUACUGGGCGUAAAGCGCGUGCAGGUGGCUCAUUACGCCCGGCGUGAAAGCCCCCGGCUCAACCGGGGAGGGUCGUCGGGGACGGAUGGGCUUGAGGGUCGCAGGGGCUGGUGGAAUUCCCGGUGUAGUGGUGAAAUGCGUAGAGAUCGGGAGGAACACCCGUGGCGAAGGCGGCCAGCUGGGCGACACCUGACACUGAGACGCGAAGGCGUGGGGAGCGAACGGGAUUAGAAACCCCAGUAGUCC